This is a long non-coding RNA of Acanthopagrus latus (yellowfin seabream), 379 nucleotides long. RefSeq lists it as uncharacterized. The transcript has 2 exons. Lineage: Eukaryota; Metazoa; Chordata; Actinopteri; Spariformes; Sparidae. The record is from RefSeq and is a predicted model, not a curated record.
UCUGUGUCGUGGCUGACCUGGCGUCAGUGAGCAGGCCGCUGUACUGGUCCUGUCGGCUCUGAGCCUCUGAGAACAGGGCGAGACAGGACUCACUGUCGCUGAGGAGAGGGUCUGAAUCACGCAGAGUCUGAGAGAGAAGGGCGCAGGCAGAUGGUGGAGUCUGGUUAGCGACAACAAGCCUGGCAGCAGUUUUUUUCUUCCGGGGAGAUCAUGGCGGAUCCAUCUAAGAAGCGACGUCACUACAUCCUCCUCACUCAGCACGUUCAGAGCAUCUGACCUGAGGCACGCUUCCAACACAUUCACCUAUAAGAAGCAAGAGAAACAGUAAAUACUGAGUUCCUCAAAAACAAACCUGUGGAAAUAAAGGCCCCAACCUAGA